AGUGAACGCUGGCGGUAGGCCUAACACAUGCAAGUCGAACGGCAGCACAGUAAGCGCUUGCUCUUACGGGUGGCGAGUGGCGGACGGGUGAGGAAUACAUCGGAAUCUACUUUUUCGUGGGGGAUAACGUAGGGAAACUUACGCUACUACCGCAUACGACCUACGGGUGAAUGCAGGGGAUAUUCGUACCUUUCGCGCUUGAACGAGCCGAUGUCGGAUUAGCUAGUUGGCGGGGUAAAGGCCCACCAAGGCGACGAUCCGUAGCUGGUCUGAGAGGAUGAUCAGCCACACUGGAAGUGAGACACGGUCAAGACUCCUACGGGAGGCAGCAGUGGGGAAUAUUGGACAAUGGGCGCAAGCCUGAUCCAGCCAUACCGCGUGGGUGAAGAAGGCCUUCGGGUUGUAAAGCCCUUUUGUUGGGAAAGAAAAGCAGCAGGUUAAUACCCCGCUGUUCUGACGGUACCCAAAGAAUAAGCACCGGCUAACUUCGUG
This 492-nucleotide ribosomal RNA is filed under the name uncultured bacterium. RNAcentral describes it as "partial 16S ribosomal RNA". It matches the Rfam family "Bacterial small subunit ribosomal RNA", at positions 29 to 507 of the family's 1533-position model. The record is from RNAcentral.